GAUAUGCAAGUCGAGCGUGGUUCUGAUCGCAAGAUUGGAAUCUAGCGGCGGACGGCUGAGUAAUAUAUAGGUAUCUGCCUCUUUCUGAAGGAUAGCUCGCCGAAAGGCGGGAUAAUACUUCAUGUCCCCUCACGGGAAAAGGACGUAACUGUUCGGAAAGAGAUGAGCCUGUAUUCUAUCAGGUAGUUGGUAGGGUAAUGGCCUACCAAGCCUAUGACGGAUAGCUGGUCUAAGAGGAUGUCCAGCCAGAGGGGGACUGAGACACGGCCCCCACUCCUACGGGAGGCAGCAAUCAGGAAUAGUCGGCAAUGGGCGAAAGCCUGACCGUGCGACACCGUGUGCGGGAAGAAGGUCUUAACGAUCGUAAACCGCUGUGGUAGGGGAAGAAGUCUCGACGUAAGUCGGGGUUGACGGUACCCUAUUAGAAAGGAGCCGCUAACUGCGUGCCAGAAGCGUCGGUAAUACGUGGGCUUCAAGCGUUAUCCGGUUUUAUUGGGCGUAAAGGGUCGUGUAGGUGGUUUGAUAAGUUAUCUCUUAAAUUUUCUCGCUCAACGAGGAGCAUGGGGAUAAUACUAUCAAGCUAGAGUUUUCUUUAGGGAGACUGGAACUUAGGGAGGAGUAGUGAAAUGCGUUGAUACCCUAGGGAACACCAGUGGCGAAGGCGAGUCUCUGGAAGGAAACUGACACUGAGACACGAAAGCUAGGGGAGCGAAGCAGAUUAGAGACCUGCGUAGUCCUAGCCCUAAACGAAUGUCUGCUGGCUGCAUGUCGUCCUUUUGGAUGACGUGUGGCGAAGCUAACCCGUUAAGCAGACCGCCUGGGGAGUACGACCGCAAGGUUAAAACUCAAAGGAAUUGGCGGGGAGGCACACAAGCAGU
RNAcentral lists this ribosomal RNA (878 nucleotides) under uncultured Microgenomates group bacterium. Its description in RNAcentral is "bacterial SSU rRNA". It matches the Rfam family "Bacterial small subunit ribosomal RNA", at positions 52 to 933 of the family's 1533-position model. The record is from RNAcentral.